GUCCACGCUGUAAACGAUGGAUACUAGACGUGGUGGGUCUUGACCCCUGCCGUGUCGAAGUUAACACGAUAAGUAUCCCGCCUGGGGAGUACGGUCGCAAGACUAAAACUCAAAGGAAUUGACGGGGGCCCGCACAAGCGGUGGAUCAUGUGGUUUAAUUCGAAGCAACGCGAAGAACCUUACCUGGGCUUGACAUCCCAAUGAAUAUUUUUAGAGAUAGAAAUAGGCUCGCAAGAGACAUUGGAGACAGGUGCUGCAUGGCUGUCGU
Molecule: ribosomal RNA, 268 nt
Filed under: uncultured bacterium
Lineage: Bacteria
Description: partial 16S ribosomal RNA
Rfam family: Bacterial small subunit ribosomal RNA
Source: RNAcentral